UACGGAAGGGGCGAGCGUUGUUCGGAAUCAUUGGGCGUAAAGGGCGCGUAGGUGGUACUGUAUGUCUCCCGUGAAAGUCCACGGCUCAACUGUGGGGCGUCGGGAGAAACUGCAGGACUUGAGGCUGGGAGGGGCUGGUGGAAUUCCCUGUGUAGCGGUGAAAUGCGUAGAGAUGGGGGAGAACACUCGUGGCGAAGGCGGCCAGCUAGACCAGUUCUGACACUGAGGCGCGACAGCGUGGGGAGCAAACAGGAUUAGAAACCCGAGUAGUCC
This 273-nucleotide ribosomal RNA is filed under the name uncultured bacterium. Its description in RNAcentral is "partial 16S ribosomal RNA". It matches the Rfam family "Bacterial small subunit ribosomal RNA", at positions 524 to 796 of the family's 1533-position model. The record is from RNAcentral.